This 441-nucleotide ribosomal RNA is filed under the name uncultured bacterium. Its description in RNAcentral is "partial 16S ribosomal RNA". It matches the Rfam family "Bacterial small subunit ribosomal RNA", at positions 338 to 795 of the family's 1533-position model. The record is from RNAcentral.
CCUACGGGUGGCAGCAGUGGGGGAUAUUGCACAAUGGGGGAAACCCUGAUGCAGCGAAGCCGCGUGGGUGAAGAAGUAUUUCGGUAUGUAAAGCCCUAUCAGCAGGGAAGAAAGAAGACGGUACCUGACUAAGAAGCACCGGCUAACUACGUGCCAGCAGCCGCGGUAAUACGUAGGGGGCGAGCGUUAUCCGGAUUCACUGGGUGUAAAGGGAGGGUAGACGGGCGGGCAAGGCAGGGGUGAAAGCCCGGGGGCCAACCCCGGUACUGCUCUUGGAACUGUGCGGAGGGAGUGCGGUGGGGGCAGGCGGAACUCCUGGUGUAGCGGUGAAAUGCGUAGAUAUCAGGAGGAACACCGGCGGCGAAGGCGGCCUGCUGGACCGCGACUGACGUUGAGGCUCGAAAGCGUGGGGAGCGAACAGGAUUAGAUACCCCGGUAGUC